AGUCGAACUCGAACAUGACGUUUGCAGCCCAGAGCCACAGCCUUAGGCUUAUCUCCCGCCCUUUCCAACCCACUUCUCCCGCUUCUUCUCUCCUAUAAAGUCACAGAAGCCCUUCAAACCAACAUUCUCUCUCUCUCUCUCUCUCUCUCUCUCCACAGGCACAUACAUAUAUACCUCUGUAUAAUCACGCUCGUAUAGGCGUAUACAGUGCUACAAAGAAAGUUUUUCGCGCUUGUACUGUUCUACCACAAUGCAGUUUGAUAGUCGUGACUCUGGUGGUGUAAAUUUGGAAAGGUUUGUCUUCUCCGUGGGGGAAGCUUUGGUGGUGGGCACUCUGGAGAUUGCUUUAGUUGCAGAAAAUUGCCUAUUUUGGCUCCUAUCGGCAAUAGGAUCGCUACCAAAUGAUUUUUUUGCAGAAGUGUGGCAAAAUGAUCAGAGGUUUCCAAUUAACGGAGCGAGAGAGCCUGACAUUGAAAAUGAUGAUGCUGGUAAAACGGAGGAUGGUACUGUUAAAGAUCAAUGUGAUCAUGAUGACGAGAACAAUGCCGAUAUGACUGAGCAAGAUGGGAGUUAUGAUGGUGAUGAGGAUUCCGAGAAUGAGGAUGAUAAUGAUGAUAGUGGCGAUCCGAAUGGUGAAAGAGGAAGUAGUGAUGGAGAUGAGGGUGACGAUGAUGACGAGGAUGAUGGGUGCUCGGAAGAUGACUACGAUGAAGAGGAUGGAGAAGAAUACGAAGAGGAUGAGGAGGGAGAAGGCAUACCCAACAGACAUUCUAAGAAGCACAAGUCAGUGGAUGGUUACAGUGAUGAUACAACAGGUUCUGAAUAUGAUGAUGAUACUGAUGAUGACCCUGGCUAUGGUUCUUUGCUGAGGCAUGCAAGAGAAGUCUACGCAGUAACCAGUUAUUGCCUAUUUGAAAGUGAGUACAAGAAGACGAAAACUCUGUCUGUUGAUGUCACCGAUGAGGAAAGGUUCGUCUUUGACUACAAAGUUCGAAAGGAUGGGCAAUUGUUUAGAGAAUACAAAGUUACUGCAGCGCCAUUUGAUGGCCUGAUAAAUUGUAGUUGCAAGUACUUUGAUCUAGUUGGAAUCUUGUGCUGUCAUGCACUAAUAGUUCUUGGAUGCUUGCGGAUUGAGAAGAUUCCGGAGCGAUAUAUACUGAAGUGGCGGAGGAAAAAUGGAAAGGGUGGUACUGGAGAAGAAACUCAGAGUCUCACAGACAACUACAAGGGACAUGGAUCGUCUUCAGAUUUCAUCCAUCAUAGUCGGUUAAUGGAUACUGGCAUUUUUCAUCCAGUCCAUUCUAAAGAUGACUUGGACAUGCUUACUAAACAUGUUGAUGCCCGUAUAUUGAGGCGUCCUUUGGAAAUGCCUAUUGAUGCCCGUCUAUUGAGCCGUGGAUUUUUCUCUUAUAUGCGAAGUGGUACAAUGUCGCAAGAGGAAAAUAAAAGAUUGGAACAUCUAUCUGUUGACCCUGUCCAUAUGGAUUUGGAAGAAAGAGAGCCUAUGGACUCAAGAUACCACGUUGAUGCCCCUCUCCUAAGGCAUGCAAGGGACAUUUAUAUGCCCAAUAUCUAUCGUAAGUUUCGAGAAGAACAUAGAGAAUCAGAAUAUCUAGAUGUUUUUAUUAAGAAUGACACUUUUGAUGAUCAUGGGCUAGCUUUUGAUUUUGAAGUACUAAAGCCUGGACAAUCCAUAUGCCAUAAAGUUCAUGCGGAACCAGAUGAUGGGGGUGUGAAGUGUAGUUGCAAAGGGUUUGAGAAAAAAGGUAUAUUAUGUCGUCAUGCACUAUCUGUCAUGGACCGAUUAUUUAUAGAGAGGAUCCCAGCUAAAUAUAUCUUAGAUAAGUUCGCGAAAAAUCCAGGGGUUGGCAUGGCAGAAGAUAUUCAUGGAGAAAAAUACUCUGAAUUGCAACGCUUCGUCCGGUGGAAAACUUUGAAUACCAUGUAUGAUAGAAUUGCACAAAAAGCUGCUAAAUCUGAUGCUACUCAAACUAUAUUUCUUGAGCAUAUGGAAAAACUACGAGUCAUGUUGGGAUGCUCGUCAGAUGAGGCCAAUGAAGCCUCCAUGAAUGCAUGUGCAGGGGAAGGUGAUAGGGAUAUGAACGGUCUGGGGAGCAGAAAUGCUAUUGAGGACAAGGCAAUGAAGAAAGCUAAGGGCUUGAAUUAUGGUCAAAAUCUUAUGCAACCCAAUGCUGAGGAAUUGGAGGCAAAAUGGGGUCAGCAAUCUGCCACUAGUGGUCAUAUUUCUCAGCCUGAAUAAUGGUGCAGCACUGGUGAAACUUUCAGCCUGUUUCACUUUCAGGUAACAAUGGUGCAGCAUGGAAGCAUCAGAUCAAAGUAAGACUGGCUGAGUCCGGUUCUGCAUGUAUCUUACCCAAAUAUAUUUAGCAGGUAUGUAUCUUUCUAACUAAAUUCUCACAUAUUGUUUUCAGGUUGGCAGCAGUCUUUCCGGGUUCUAUCUUUCCAAUUUUUUGAAGCAACAUGACAACGCCGGUUGAACUGUCUAGGUUUUUUUUUCCCCUUGGUACUGAAUGCAGGUCCUUUUGAAGAAAAUGAGAGCUUUUUGAUAGUUAUGCAUGUUAUUCAGGUUUUGCAUUUUGAUGUAGUGAACUUGCAGAAUAUUGUAUAUAUGCUAUCAUGGAUUACUGAAUGCUGCAGAUAUCAAUGAUGAUCGUUCUUCACUUGUGCA
Rhododendron vialii is the source of this 2689-nucleotide RNA transcript. RefSeq lists it as uncharacterized. The record is from RefSeq and is a predicted model, not a curated record. Lineage: Eukaryota; Viridiplantae; Streptophyta; Magnoliopsida; Ericales; Ericaceae. The transcript is spliced from 6 exons.